This 210-nucleotide ribosomal RNA is filed under the name uncultured Leptolinea sp. RNAcentral's name for it is "partial 16S ribosomal RNA". It matches the Rfam family "Bacterial small subunit ribosomal RNA", at positions 1175 to 1382 of the family's 1533-position model. Lineage: Bacteria; Bacillati; Chloroflexota; Anaerolineae; Anaerolineales; Anaerolineaceae. The record is from RNAcentral.
GGGGAUGAUGUCGAAGUCAGCAUGGCCUUUAUAUCCUGGGCUACACACACGCUACAAUGGCCAACACAAGUAGGUUGCUAAGCCGCGAGGUGGCGCCAAUCCAUAAAGUUGGUCUCAGUUCAGAUUGUAGGCUGCAACCCGCCUGCAUGAAGAUGGAGUUGCUAGUAACCGCAGGUCAGCUAUACUGCGGUGAAUACGUUCCCGGGGCUU